UACGUAGGUGGCGAGCGUUAUCCGGAAUUAUUGGGCGUAAAGAGCGCGCAGGUGGUUGAUUAAGUCUGAUGUGAAAGCCCACGGCUUAACCGUGGAGGGUCAUUGGAAACUGGUCGACUUGAGUGCAGAAGAGGGAAGUGGAAUUCCAUGUGUAGCGGUGUAAUGCGUAGAGAUAUGGAGGAACACCAGUGGCGAAGGCGGCUUCCUGGUCUGUAACUGACGCUGAGGCGCGAAAGCCAGGGGAGCAAACGGGAUUAGAUACCCGU
Molecule: ribosomal RNA, 266 nt
Filed under: uncultured prokaryote
Description: partial 16S ribosomal RNA
Rfam family: Bacterial small subunit ribosomal RNA
Source: RNAcentral